RNAcentral lists this ribosomal RNA (440 nucleotides) under uncultured bacterium. Its description in RNAcentral is "partial 16S ribosomal RNA". It matches the Rfam family "Bacterial small subunit ribosomal RNA", at positions 338 to 795 of the family's 1533-position model. The record is from RNAcentral.
CCUACGGGAGGCAGCAGUAGGGAAUAUUGCUCAAUGGGGGAAACCCUGAAGCAGCAACGCCGCGUGUAGGAUGAAGGUUUUCGGAUUGUAAACUCCUUUUGUUAGAGAAGAUAAUGACGGUAUCUAACGAAUAAGCACCGUCUAACUCCGUGCCAGCAGCCGCGGUAAUACGGAGGGUGCAAGCGUUACUCGGAAUCACUGGGCGUAAAGAGCGCGUAGGCGGGAUAGCAAGUCAGAUGUGAAAUCCUAUGGCUUAACCAUAGAACUGCAUUUGAAACUGUUAUUCUAGAGUAUGGGAGAGGUAGGUGGAAUUCGUGGUGUAGGGGUGAAAUGCGUAGAGAUCAAGAGGAAUACUGAUUGCGAAGGCGACCUGCUAGAACAUAACUGACGCUGAUGCGCGAAAGCGUGGGGAGCAAACAGGAUUAGAUACCCCUGUAGUC